AUUGAACGCUGGCGGCAUGCUUUACACAUGCAAGUCGAACGGUAACAGGCCUUCGGGUGCUGACGAGUGGCGAACGGGUGAGUAAUGCAUCGGAACGUGCCCAGAGGUGGGGGAUAACGCAGCGAAAGCUGUGCUAAUACCGCAUGUGAUCUGAGGAUGAAAGCGGGGGACCAGGCAGCAAUGUUUGGCCUCGCGCCUUUGGAGCGGCCGAUGUCAGAUUAGGUAGUUGGUGGGGUAAAGGCCUACCAAGCCGACGAUCUGUAGCUGGUCUGAGAGGACGACCAGCCACACUGGGACUGAGACACGGCCCAGACUCCUACGGGAGGCAGCAGUGGGGAAUUUUGGACAAUGGGCGCAAGCCUGAUCCAGCAAUGCCGCGUGCGGGAAGAAGGCCUUCGGGUUGUAAACCGCUUUUGUACGGAACGAAAAGGCUUUGGCUAAUACCUGGGGCUGAUGACGGUACCGUAAGAAUAAGCACCGGCUAACUACGUG
RNAcentral lists this ribosomal RNA (492 nucleotides) under uncultured bacterium. RNAcentral describes it as "partial 16S ribosomal RNA". It matches the Rfam family "Bacterial small subunit ribosomal RNA", at positions 30 to 507 of the family's 1533-position model. The record is from RNAcentral.